GUAAACGUUGGGCACUAGGUGUGGGGGACAUUCCACGUUUUCCGCGCCGUAGCUAACGCAUUAAGUGCCCCGCCUGGGGAGUACGGCCGCAAGGCUAAAACUCAAAGGAAUUGACGGGGGCCCGCACAAGCGGCGGAGCAUGCGGAUUAAUUCGAUGCAACGCGAAGAACCUUACCAAGGCUUGACAUUCACCGGACCGCCCCAGAGAUGGGGUUUCCCUUCGGGGCUGGUGGACAGGUGGUGCAUGGUUGUCGUCAGCUCGUGUCGUGAGAUGUUGGGUUAAGUCCCGCAACGAGCGCAACCCUCGUUCUAUGUUGCCAGCACGUGAUGGUGGGGACUCAUAGGAGACUGCCGGGGUCAACUCGGAGGAAGGUGGGGAUGACGUCAAAUCAUCAUGCCCCUUAUGUCUUGGGCUUCACGCAUGCUACAAUGGCCGGUACAAAGGGUUGCGAUACUGUGAGGUGGAGCUAAUCCCAAAAAGCCGGUCUCAGUUCGGAUUGAGGUCUGCAACUCGACCUCAUGAAGUCGGAGUCGCUAGUAAUCGCAGAUCAGCAACGCUGCGGUGAAUACGUUCCCGGGCCUUGUACACACCGCCCGUCAAGUCACGAAAGUUGGUAACACCCGAAGCCCGGUGGCCUAACCCCUUGUGGGAGGGAGCCGUCGAAGGUGGGACUGGCGAUUGGGACU
This 687-nucleotide ribosomal RNA is filed under the name Kocuria rosea. Its description in RNAcentral is "SSU rRNA". It matches the Rfam family "Bacterial small subunit ribosomal RNA", at positions 802 to 1482 of the family's 1533-position model. Lineage: Bacteria; Bacillati; Actinomycetota; Actinomycetes; Micrococcales; Micrococcaceae. The record is from RNAcentral.